UCAAGACCUUAUAUUACAUUUUCGAACAAAACAAAGUUCACCCGUACAAUGAACCCUUAAAUUCAGAGUGAACCAUUAAACCCACUUCAUUUUCUAGGAUCAAUCAAAGUAGAUUAUUAAAUAAAAAAAAUACUAAAUUAAAAAAUAGCUAAACAAGAAUGACUCCAAUACUAAUGAUGAUACUAGACACAAACUCUAGACCCUAUAUCCAAAUACUAUACCCUAAACCCAAAUACUAUCCAAACAAUAUACCCUAACUUAAAUCAUAUACCCUAAUCCCAAACCGUAAACCCUAAACCCAAAUCCUAUG
Molecule: long non-coding RNA, 310 nt
Filed under: Brassica rapa (field mustard)
Lineage: Eukaryota; Viridiplantae; Streptophyta; Magnoliopsida; Brassicales; Brassicaceae
Description: long non-coding RNA (BRAP_LNC005833)
Source: RNAcentral